Molecule: ribosomal RNA, 163 nt
Filed under: uncultured bacterium
Lineage: Bacteria
Description: partial 16S ribosomal RNA
Rfam family: Bacterial small subunit ribosomal RNA
Source: RNAcentral
AACGCCGCGUGAGUGAUGAAGGCCUUCGGGUCGUAAAGCUCUGUCUAGUGGGAAGAACCCAUCCCGUAACAACACGGCGGGAUGCUGACGGUACCACUGAAGGAAGCACCGGCUAACUCCGUGCCAGCAACGUCGGUGACUGAGCGGGCUGGCAAGGCGCAUA